Molecule: unclassified non-coding RNA, 252 nt
Filed under: Hevea brasiliensis (rubber tree)
Lineage: Eukaryota; Viridiplantae; Streptophyta; Magnoliopsida; Malpighiales; Euphorbiaceae
Source: RNAcentral
UAUGGCACUGGAUCUAAGGAAGAGGUGAGGUUUGCUUUCUUUGUUUCCUCCUGUUUGGUUCCCGAGAAAGUGAGGAGCACACUGACGGAAAAUUGAACUUUUCAGUCUUUUUAGGGGGUUUUCAAAUGCUUGAGCAGUCUCUUUCGAGUUCUGCUUGCGUGUGAAUUCAUUGACAGUGAUGUAGAAGUCGGACUUGUCAUCUUAGGUUUUUUGAAACGCAUGAAGAUUUGCAUUUAGUUCCAUUGGGGCGUU